CGCGGGGUGGAGCAGUGGUAGCUCGUCGGGCUCAUAACCCGAAGGCCGUCGGUUCAAAUCCGGCCCCCGCAACCA
RNAcentral lists this transfer RNA (75 nucleotides) under Desulfosporosinus cupriresistens. RNAcentral describes it as "Desulfosporosinus sp. BG tRNA-Met". It matches the Rfam family "tRNA". From Rfam's summary of the family: Transfer RNA (tRNA) molecules are approximately 80 nucleotides in length. Their secondary structure includes four short double-helical elements and three loops (D, anti-codon, and T loops). Further hydrogen bonds mediate the characteristic L-shaped molecular structure. tRNAs have two regions of fundamental functional importance: the anti-codon, which is responsible for specific mRNA codon recognition, and the 3' end, to which the tRNAs corresponding amino acid is attached (by aminoacyl-tRNA synthetases). tRNAs cope with the degeneracy of the genetic code in two manners: having more than one tRNA (with a specific anti-codon) for a particular amino acid; and 'wobble' base-pairing, i.e. permitting non-standard base-pairing at the 3rd anti-codon position. Lineage: Bacteria; Bacillati; Bacillota; Clostridia; Eubacteriales; Desulfitobacteriaceae. The record is from RNAcentral.